This 1072-nucleotide long non-coding RNA is filed under the name Sus scrofa (pig). Its description in RNAcentral is "lncRNA (ENSSSCG00070011081.1)". Lineage: Eukaryota; Metazoa; Chordata; Mammalia; Artiodactyla; Suidae. The record is from RNAcentral.
GGGAACCACUGCAUCCCCUGGGAGUGGUGACAAUCAAUCAGUCAACCAAUGGGAUUGACAUCAGACCAUUCUGCAUGGUCAUUAUCUAGGUUGUCUCCGCUACCCAGAGGCAUUUUCACACGAAACCUGUGUGGGGAGGUAAUGUUUUGAAGUGCACCCCAAAGAGCAAGAUCUUUCUAAGUAGAACUUGGAUUCUGAAGGCUCUUCUGGCGGCCGGGUGUUAUGGGCUUUGAGGGCUUGGCCUGGGAGUCAAUUAUUAGUCAUUUCCCUGUUAUCUUCUGCAAUCAGGAUGUCACUCGUUCUCUCUGUUGUCAUGUAUUUUCCAGAAUCUUGCUUUGGAAACCUAGGAUCUUGCUUCAGGAGUCUGAGGGCAAUUUUGUUCUUUACCACCUUGGCUGGAAUAAUCCCAUGGUGGCCACACAACAGGGUGCACCCUGCCAAUGAGCCAGAUGAAGCAACCCUCGAUGAUGUUGUGGAGGCCGGCGGGGAGAGAAGACGGAGGAAGAGGCCCUGGCUGGGGCAAAUGAGGAGGAGGUGGGGCCGGGAACUGAGAAGGUGCAGGAGGAGGCUGCCUGCAUUGACGAGGCAGAGGAGGAGGCAGGCCCAUCCCUUGAAAAUGACGAGGAGUCCCCAGCCAGCGACCUGGUUGAGCAGGAAGACCAGCUUGCCCCCAAGGUAAGCUCACCUUUCUUGAUCGGAGAUUUAAAAAGGUGCCUCCUUUCUUCUUGGAUGUGCCUACUUCAGAAAAGGAAAUCUGAGCAAGUCCAUUAUAGAGGAUAUAUGCACAUUCCUCUGUGGAGGAAUGUUGAGUCAAAGUUUGGUACCAACCAAUAACUCCUUCCAAGGGGCAUUGGCAAAAGGGACCACAUCAGUUCCCAAGUGUACAUAGGGAGCAUUUGUCUUUGAAGAAGCCUGAAUGUUUUGUUUUGUUGUCUUUUUGCCUUUUCUAGGGCCACUCCUGUGGCAUAUGGAGGUUCCCAGGCUCAGGGUCAAACCAGAGCUGUAGCCACCGGCCUGCGCCAGAGCCACAGCAACGCGGGAUCCGAGCAACGUCUGCAACCUACACCUCAGC